RNAcentral lists this ribosomal RNA (484 nucleotides) under uncultured bacterium. Its description in RNAcentral is "partial 16S ribosomal RNA". It matches the Rfam family "Bacterial small subunit ribosomal RNA", at positions 30 to 507 of the family's 1533-position model. The record is from RNAcentral.
AUUGAACGCUGGCGGCAGGCCUAACACAUGCAAGUCGAGCGGAUGAAGGGAGCUUGCUCCUGGAUUCAGCGGCGGACGGGUGAGUAAUGCCUAGGAAUCUGCCUGGUAGUGGGGGAUAACGUCCGGAAACGGGCGCUAAUACCGCAUACGUCCUGAGGGAGAAAGUGGGGGAUCUUCGGACCUCACGCUAUCAGAUGAGCCUAGGUCGGAUUAGCUAGUUGGUGGGGUAAAGGCCUACCAAGGCGACGAUCCGUAACUGGUCUGAGAGGAUGAUCAGUCACACUGGAACUGAGACACGGUCCAGACUCCUACGGGAGGCAGCAGUGGGGGAUAUUGGACAAUGGGCGAAAGCCUGAUCCAGCCAUGCCGCGUGUGUGAAGAAGGUCUUCGGAUUGUAAAGCACUUUAAGUUGGGAGGAAGGGCAGUAAGUUAAUACCUUGCUGUUUUGACGUUACCAACAGAAUAAGCACCGGCUAACUUCGUG